This 765-nucleotide ribosomal RNA is filed under the name uncultured Streptococcus sp. Its description in RNAcentral is "bacterial SSU rRNA". It matches the Rfam family "Bacterial small subunit ribosomal RNA", at positions 28 to 776 of the family's 1533-position model. The record is from RNAcentral. Lineage: Bacteria; Bacillati; Bacillota; Bacilli; Lactobacillales; Streptococcaceae.
GAUGAACGCUGGCGGCGUGCCUAAUACAUGCAAGUAGAACGCUGAAGCUUGGUGCUUGCACCGAGCGGAUGAGUUGCGAACGGGUGAGUAACGCGUAGGUAACCUGCCCCUUAGCGGGGGAUAACUAUUGGAAACGAUAGCUAAUACCGCAUAAAAGACGAUAUCGCAUGAUAUUGAUUUGAAAGGUGCAAUUGCAUCACUAAGAGAUGGACCUGCGUUGUAUUAGCUAGUUGGUGAGGUAACGGCUCACCAAGGCGACGAUACAUAGCCGACCUGAGAGGGUGAUCGGCCACACUGGGACUGAGACACGGCCCAGACUCCUGCGGGAGGCGGCAGUAGGGAAUCUUCGGCAAUGGGGGCAACCCUGACCGAGCAACGCCGCGUGAGUGAAGAAGGUUUUCGGAUCGUAAAGCUCUGUUGUAAGAGAAGAACGAGUGUGAGAGUGGAAAGUUCACACUGUGACGGUAACUUACCAGAAAGGGACGGCUAACUACGUGCCAGCAGCCGCGGUAAUACGUAGGUCCCGAGCGUUAUCCGGAUUUAUUGGGCGUAAAGCGAGCGCAGGCGGUUAGAUAAGUCUGAAGUUAAAGGCUGUGGCUUAACCAUAGUACGCUUUGGAAACUGUUUAACUUGAGUGCAGAAGGGGAGAGUGGAAUUCCAUGUGUAGCGGUGAAAUGCGUAGAUAUAUGGAGGAACACCGGUGGCGAAAGCGGCUCUCUGGUCUGUAACUGACGCUGAGGCUCGAAAGCGUGGGGAGCAAACAGG